RNAcentral lists this ribosomal RNA (305 nucleotides) under uncultured bacterium. RNAcentral describes it as "bacterial SSU rRNA". It matches the Rfam family "Bacterial small subunit ribosomal RNA", at positions 337 to 640 of the family's 1533-position model. The record is from RNAcentral.
UCCUACGGGGGGCAGCAGUGAGGAAUAUUGGUCAAUGGGCUAAGGCCUGAACCAGCCAAGUCGCGUGAGGGAAGACGGUCCUAUGGAUUGUAAACCUCUUUUGUCGGGGAGCAACGAGGCCACGUGUGGCCGAAGUGAGAGUACCCGAAGAAAAAGCAUCGGCUAACUCCGUGCCAGCAGCCGCGGUAAUACGGAGGAUGCGAGCGUUAUCCGGAUUUAUUGGGUUUAAAGGGUGCGUAGGCGGAAGGUUAAGUCAGCGGUCAAAUGUCGGUGCUCAACACCGGCCUGCCGUUGAAACUGGUCUU